This 465-nucleotide ribosomal RNA is filed under the name uncultured bacterium. RNAcentral describes it as "partial 16S ribosomal RNA". It matches the Rfam family "Bacterial small subunit ribosomal RNA", at positions 28 to 507 of the family's 1533-position model. The record is from RNAcentral.
GACGAACGCUGGCGGCGUGCUUAACACAUGCAAGUCGAACGGAAAGGCCCUGCUUGCAGGGUACUCGAGUGGCGAACGGGUGAGUAACACGUGGGUGAUCUGCCCUGCACUUCGGGAUAAGCCUGGGAAACUGGGUCUAAUACCGGAUAGGAGCCAUUUUUAGUGUGAUGGUUGGAAAGUUUUUUCGGUGUAGGAUGAGCUCGCGGCCUAUCAGCUUGUUGGUGGGGUAAUGGCCUACCAAGGCGGCGACGGGUAGCCGGCCUGAGGGGGUGGACGGCCACAUUGGGAAUGAGAUACGGCCCAGACUCCUACGGGAGGCAGCAGUGGGGAAUAUUGCACAAUGGGCGGAAGCCUGAUGCAGCGACGGCGCGUGGGGGAUGACGGGCUUCGGGUUGGAAACUCCUUUCGCUAGGGACGAAGCUUUUUGUGACGGUACCUAGAUAAGAAGCACCGGCUAACUACGUG